CCUACGGGAGGCAGCAGUGGGGAAUAUUGCACAAUGGGCGAAAGCCUGAUGCAGCAACGCCGCGUGAGCGAUGAAGGCCCUCGGGUUGUUAAGCUCUGUUUUCAAGGAAGUUAACGACGGUACUUGAGGUGGAAGUCCAGGCUAAUUACUGGCCAGCAGCCGCGGUAAUACGUAGGCGGCCAGGGUUAUACGGAAUUACCGGGCGUAAGGGGUGCGUAGGUGGUUUCUUAAGUAAGAGGUGAAAGGCUAGGGCUCAACCGUAGUAAGCCUUUGAAACUGGGGAACUUGAGUGCAGGAGAGGAGAGUGGAAUUCCUAGUGUAGCGAUGAAAUGCAUAGAUAUUAGGAAGAACACCAAUUGCGAAGGCAGCUCUCUAGUCUAUAACUGACACUGAGGCACGAAAGCGUGGGGAGCAAACAGGAUUAGAUACCCCUGUAGUC
This 439-nucleotide ribosomal RNA is filed under the name uncultured bacterium. Its description in RNAcentral is "partial 16S ribosomal RNA". It matches the Rfam family "Bacterial small subunit ribosomal RNA", at positions 338 to 795 of the family's 1533-position model. The record is from RNAcentral.